AUGCGAAACGCCCGCAACUGCGGGCGUCUGCCGGGCGUGGUGGCCUGGCACUGAUGAGCAGCCAAAC
RNAcentral lists this non-coding RNA (67 nucleotides) under Ralstonia solanacearum. The record is from RNAcentral. Lineage: Bacteria; Pseudomonadati; Pseudomonadota; Betaproteobacteria; Burkholderiales; Burkholderiaceae.